UACGGGGGGGGCAAGCGUUGUUCGGAAUUACUGGGCGUAAAGGGCUCGUAGGUGGCCAACUAAGUCGGACGUGAAAUCCCUCAGCUUAACUGGGGAACUGCGUCCGAUACUGGAUGGCUCGAGUUUGGGAGAGGGAUGCGGAAUUCCAGGUGUAGCGGUGAAAUGCGUAGAUAUCUGGAGGAACACCGGUGGCGAAGGCGGCAUCCUGGACCAACACCGACACUGAGGAGCGAAAGCCAGGGGAGCAAACGGG
RNAcentral lists this ribosomal RNA (253 nucleotides) under uncultured bacterium. Its description in RNAcentral is "partial 16S ribosomal RNA". It matches the Rfam family "Bacterial small subunit ribosomal RNA", at positions 524 to 776 of the family's 1533-position model. The record is from RNAcentral.